ACUCUUUUGAUUCGUCUCAAGAGUCCCUAUAUUUGGAGCGUCGGGAAACCGACUAUGACGAUAAACACCUUAUGGAAUAAGCGUUGCGGACCCGGGGGCGGUACCCGGCGCCUCCACCAUUCCCGUCCAGCUCGGCUGGCCGGUUCAUGGGGGCGAAAUAGGAUCGACGCGCGUGGUAAAGGUAAGGUUUUCGUCCGGCAUGGUAUCCACCGUUAUCGGGCCAACCUAGAAGUGCCAACGACAAUAGCCGUUUGGCUCUCGCUGCCUAAUAGGUAAGCGCGGUCCGGGGGGCGCCGGGCAACAGAAAGCCCCCCACU
Molecule: transfer-messenger RNA, 317 nt
Filed under: Rhodospirillaceae bacterium
Lineage: Bacteria; Pseudomonadati; Pseudomonadota; Alphaproteobacteria; Rhodospirillales; Rhodospirillaceae
Rfam family: Alphaproteobacteria transfer-messenger RNA
About the family: Bacterial tmRNA, also known as 10Sa RNA or SsrA, is named for its dual tRNA and mRNA-like properties. Its role is to liberate the mRNA from a stalled ribosome.
Source: RNAcentral